Molecule: ribosomal RNA, 1068 nt
Filed under: Triticum aestivum (bread wheat)
Lineage: Eukaryota; Viridiplantae; Streptophyta; Magnoliopsida; Poales; Poaceae
Description: partial small subunit ribosomal RNA
Source: RNAcentral
AUGAUUGACACAAAUUGCCCAAUUAUGAGCUAGAACAUACGAGGGCUCAACUCGCCGGCCCGGCGAACAGUAGUGAAUGAGACGGCGGAGACACACAAGCUCGCUCUUCUCUGUCUCCAAGAGACAAAGAUCAACGAAUGGAGCAGAUCACUAGUUAGGGAGGUGGGUGGAGCCAGACUAGCAAACUGCGUCGUCCUCCCGACCACGGGCACUAGGGGAGGUGCGACGAUCUUCUGGGAUAGAAGCUGUGUAGAGGUCCAAUCCCACGCCAUUGGUAGUUUCUCCAUCACAGCCAAGAUCACUCUCGCAGCAACAACAACAUCAUUCUGGAUGACGACGGUGUACGGGUCUGUCAAAGAUGGGAGGAAACAUGAGUUCCCGGCCGAGCUAGCACGAACAACACCGACCCCAAGUGAUCCAUGGCUCAUUAACAGCGAUUUCAACCUAAUCUAUGAAGCGCGGGAUAAGAACAACAACAACAUAAACCGUAGGAUCAUGGGAAAAUUUCGGGCUGUAAUCGACAUGGCGGGCCUCAAGGAGAUCAAAUGCAAAAACAGAAAGUUCAUGUGGAGCAAUGAACACGCGUCUCCAGCCCUAGUUAGCAUAGACAAGUUCAUCUACAAUGUGGAUUGGAACUCCAUGUUCCCGUCCUACCUCCUUCAUGUUGCGUCCACAUCGUUCUUCGACCAUUGCCCCUUGCUGCUGUCGGAAGCUGCAGUGCCUCGCCAUGCGGCCCGUUUCCGCUUCGAGUCCUUCUGGCCGCGCUUCCCUCGGUUCGACAUCACAGUCCAGUGUGCAUGGGAUCGCCUGGUCGCCUCCAGCUGCGCUUCACAAUGUCUCAACAUGAAACUUGCUAGAGCGACUAAAGACCUGAAGAUUUGGGCAAAGGGUUUCUUCAUGAGACAAGGCUCCAGAUGCACAUUGCAAACGAGAUCAUCUUGCGUCUCGACAUCACCCAGGAGAGCAGGCAGUUGUCGCACUGUGAGCUCCAGCUAUGGAAACAUCCCAAGCUACGCAUCCUCGACCUCGCUGCGAUCGACAGAGCUCAGAAGUGGCAAGCAUCGCUGA